This 497-nucleotide ribosomal RNA is filed under the name uncultured bacterium. RNAcentral's name for it is "partial 16S ribosomal RNA". It matches the Rfam family "Bacterial small subunit ribosomal RNA", at positions 28 to 507 of the family's 1533-position model. The record is from RNAcentral.
GAUGAACGCUGGCGGCGUGCCUAAUACAUGCAAGUCGAGCGAACAGAUGAGGAGCUUGCUCCUCUGACGUUAGCGGCGGACGGGUGAGUAACACGUGGAUAACCUACCUAUAAGACUGGGAUAACUUCGGGAAACCGGAGCUAAUACCGGAUAAUAUAUUGAACCGCAUGGUUCAAUAGUGAAAGACGGUUUUGCUGCCACUUAUAGAUGGAUCCGCGCCGCAUUAGCUAGUUGGUAAGGUAACGGCUUACCAAGGCAACGAUGCGUAGCCGACCUGAGAGGGUGAUCGGCCACCCUGGAACUGAGACACGGUCCAGACUCCUACGGGAGGCAGCAGUAGGGAAUCUUCCGCAAUGGGCGAAAGCCUGACGGAGCAACGCCGCGUGAGUGAUGAAGGUCUUCGGAUCGUAAAACUCUGUUAUUAGGGAAGAACAAAUGUGUAAGUAACUAUGCACGUCUUGACGGUACCUAAUCAGAAAGCCACGGCUAACUACGUG